UACGGGGGGGGCAAGCGUUGUUCGGAAUUACUGGGCGUAAAGGGCUCGUAGGUGGCCAACUAAGUCAGACGUGAAAUCCCUCAGCUUAACUGGGGAACUGCGUCUGAUACUGGAUGGCUUGAGUUUGGGAGAGGGAUGCGGAAUUCCAGGUGUAGCGGUGAAAUGCGUAGAUAUCGGGAGGAACACCGGUGGCGAAGGCGGUUCUCUGGGCCUUACCUGACGCUGAGGAGCGAAAGCGUGGGGAGCGAACAGG
RNAcentral lists this ribosomal RNA (253 nucleotides) under uncultured bacterium. RNAcentral describes it as "partial 16S ribosomal RNA". It matches the Rfam family "Bacterial small subunit ribosomal RNA", at positions 524 to 776 of the family's 1533-position model. The record is from RNAcentral.